CAAUAGCGUAUAUUAAAGUUGUUGCAGUUAAAAAGCUCGUAGUUGAAUUUUUGCUUGCCGCCGAUGUCGGAACUUCCGUACGUUCGGCGGCGUGCAUCCUUGGGUGGAACCUGUGUGGCAUUAGGUUGUCGUGCAGGGGAUGCUCAUCGUUUACUGUGAAAAAAUUAGAGUGUUCAAAGCAGGCUUACGCCGUUGAAUAUAUUAGCAUGGAAUAAUAAGAUAGGACCUUGGUACUAUUUUGUUGGUUUGCGCACCGAGGUAAUGAUUAACAGGGACAGUUGGGUGUAUUCGUAUUCCAUUGUCAGAGGUGAAAUUCUUGGAUUUCUGGAAGACGAACUACUGCGAAAGCAUUUACCAAGGAUGUUUUCAUUAA
RNAcentral lists this ribosomal RNA (373 nucleotides) under uncultured eukaryote. Its description in RNAcentral is "partial 18S ribosomal RNA". It matches the Rfam family "Eukaryotic small subunit ribosomal RNA", at positions 592 to 976 of the family's 1831-position model. The record is from RNAcentral.